AGAGUUUGAUCAUGGCUCAGGACGAACGCUGGCGGCGUGCUUAACACAUGCAAGUCGAACGGUGACCUCGGAGCUUGCUCCGGGCGAUCAGUGGCGAACGGGUGAGUAACACGUGAGUAACCUGCCCCAGACUCUGGGAUAACCCCGGGAAACCGGAGCUAAUACCGGAUACGACACGAAGAGGCAUCUCUAUCGUGUGGAAAGUUUUUCGGUCUGGGAUGGACUCGCGGCCUAUCAGCUAGUUGGUGAGGUAACGGCUCACCAAGGCGACGACGGGUAGCCGGCCUGAGAGGGCGACCGGCCACACUGGGACUGAGACACGGCCCAGACUCCUACGGGAGGCAGCAGUGGGGAAUAUUGCACAAUGGGCGAAAGCCUGAUGCAGCGACGCCGCGUGGGGGAUGACGGCCUUCGGGUUGUAAACCCCUUUCAGCAGGGAAGAAGCGAAAGUGACGGUACCUGCAGAAGAAGCACCGGCUAACUACGUGCCAGCAGCCGCGGUAAUAC
This 507-nucleotide ribosomal RNA is filed under the name uncultured bacterium. RNAcentral's name for it is "bacterial SSU rRNA". It matches the Rfam family "Bacterial small subunit ribosomal RNA", at positions 8 to 526 of the family's 1533-position model. The record is from RNAcentral.